GUAGGUGGCAAGCGUUGUCCGGAAUUAUUGGGCGUAAAGCGCGCGCAGGCGGUUCUUUAAGUCUGAUGUGAAAGCCCACGGCUCAACCGUGGAGGGUCAUUGGAAACUGGAGAACUUGAGUACAGAAGAGGAAAGCGGAAUUCCACGUGUAGCGGUGAAAUGCGUAGAGACGUGGAGGAACACCAGUGGCGAAGGCGGCUUUCUGGUCUGUAACUGACGCUGAGGCGCGAAAGCGUGGGGAGCAAACAGGAUUAGAUACCCUGGUAGUCCACGCCGUAAACGAUGAGUGCUAAGUGUUAGGGGGUUUCCCGCCCCCUUAGUGCUGCAGCUAACGCAUUAAGCACUCCGCCUGGGGAGUACGGCCGCAAGGCUG
Molecule: ribosomal RNA, 373 nt
Filed under: uncultured organism
Description: partial 16S ribosomal RNA
Rfam family: Bacterial small subunit ribosomal RNA
Source: RNAcentral